UAGACCGCCUGGGGAGUACGGCCGCAAGGUUAAAACUCAAAUGAAUUGACGGGGGCCCGCACAAGCGGUGGAGCAUGUGGUUUAAUUCGAUGCAACGCGAAGAACCUUACCUGGUCUUGACAUCCACAGAAGUUUCCAGAGAUGGAUUUGUGCCUUCGGGAACCGUGAGACAGGUGCUGCAUGGCUGUCGUCAGCUCGUGUUGUGAAAUGUUGGGUUAAGUCCCGCAACGAGCGCAACCCUUAUCCUUUGUUGCCAGCGGUUAGGCCGGGAACUCAAAGGAGACUGCCAGUGAUAAACUGGAGGAAGGUGGGGAUGACGUCAAGUCAUCAUGGCCCUUACGACCAGGGCUACACACGUGCUACAAUGGCGCAUACAAAGAGAAGCGACCUCGCGAGAGCAAGCGGACCUCAUAAAGUGCGUCGUAGUCCGGAUUGGAGUCUGCAACUCGACUCCAUGAAGUCGGAAUCGCUAGUAAUCGUGGAUCAGAAUGCCACGGUGAAUACGUUCCCGGGCCUUGUACACACCGCCCGUCACACCAUGGGAGUGGGUUGCAAAAGAAGUAGGUAGCUUAACCUUCGGGAGGGCGCUUACCACUUUGUGAUUCAUGACUGGGGUGAAGUCGUAACAAGGUAACCGUAGGGGAACCUGCGGUUGGAUCACCUCCUUACCUUAAAGAAGC
Molecule: ribosomal RNA, 680 nt
Filed under: Salmonella enterica subsp. enterica serovar Anatum
Lineage: Bacteria; Pseudomonadati; Pseudomonadota; Gammaproteobacteria; Enterobacterales; Enterobacteriaceae
Description: bacterial SSU rRNA
Rfam family: Bacterial small subunit ribosomal RNA
Source: RNAcentral